GAUGAAGAACGUAGCGAAAUGCGAUAAGUAAUGUGAAUUGCAGAAUUCAGUGAAUCAUCGAAUCUUUGAACGCAUCUUGCGCUCCUUGGUAUUCUGAGGAGCAUGCCUGUUUGAGUGUCAUUAAAUUCUCAACUACACUGACUUUGAAUUGGUGUGGCUUGGAUUUGGGGGGAAAAUUGUUGUGGGCUUUUUGUAUAGUCUGCUCCCCUGAAAUUGAUUAGCGGUACCUUUGUGGAACUGUCUACAGGUGUGAUAAUUAUCUACAUCUUAGACAUCUGCUGGAAUGCUGCUUUUUAAACCUUACUUGUAUUGACAAUCUUGACCUCAAAUCAGGUAGGACUACCCGCUGAACUUAAGCAUAUCAAUAAGCGGAGGA
This 376-nucleotide unclassified non-coding RNA is filed under the name soil metagenome. Its description in RNAcentral is "partial contains 5.8S ribosomal RNA, internal transcribed spacer 2, and large subunit ribosomal RNA". The stretch from base 1 to 120 matches the Rfam family "5.8S ribosomal RNA", at positions 35 to 154 of the family's 154-position model. The record is from RNAcentral.